GGGCCGGUAGCUCAGCCUGGCUAGAGCACUUGACUUUUAAUCAAGGGGUCGCGAGUUCAAAUCUCGUCCGGCCCA
Molecule: transfer RNA, 75 nt
Filed under: archaeon
Lineage: Archaea
Also listed under: 1 other name
Description: tRNA-Lys
Rfam family: tRNA
About the family: Transfer RNA (tRNA) molecules are approximately 80 nucleotides in length. Their secondary structure includes four short double-helical elements and three loops (D, anti-codon, and T loops).
Source: RNAcentral